Small nucleolar RNA from Scatophagus argus, 75 nucleotides. RefSeq annotates it as small nucleolar RNA SNORD49. The transcript has a single exon. Lineage: Eukaryota; Metazoa; Chordata; Actinopteri; Scatophagidae. The record is from RefSeq and is a predicted model, not a curated record.
UGCAACGAUGAAAGCCUCGAGUAGGAAGUGCCGUCAGAUGCGACAACUGACGAUACCUUCUCCACUUUUCUGAAC